UUGGUGGGGUAACGGCCUACCAAGCCGACGAUCAGUAGCCGACCUGAGAGGGUGACCGGCCACAUUGGGACUGAGACACGGCCCAAACUCCUACGGGAGGCAGCAGUGAGGAAUAUUGGUCAAUGGGCGAGAGCCUGAACCAGCCAAGUAGCGUGAAGGAAGACUGCCCUAUGGGUUGUAAACUUCUUUUAUACGGGAAUAAAGUCAUCCACGUGUGGAUGUUUGUAUGUACCGUAUGAAUAAGGAUCGGCUAACUCCGUGCCAGCAGCCGCGGUAAUACGGAGGAUCCGAGCGUUAUCCGGAUUUAUUGGGUUUAAAGGGAGCGUAGGCGGGCUUUUAAGUCAGUUGUGAAAGUUUGCGGCUCAACCGUAAAAUUGCAGUUGAUACUGGAAGCCUUGAGUACAGUAGAGGCAGGCGGAAUUCGUGGUGUAGCGGUGAAAUGCUUAGAUAUCACGAAGAACUCCGAUUGCGAAGGCAGCUUGCUGGACUGUAACUGACGCUGAUGCUCGAAAGUGUGGGUAUCAAACAGGAUUAGAUACCCUGGUAGUCCACACAGUAAACGAUGGACACUCGCUGUUGGCGAUAUACAGUCAGCGGCUUAGCGAAA
RNAcentral lists this ribosomal RNA (607 nucleotides) under uncultured Bacteroidaceae bacterium. RNAcentral's name for it is "bacterial SSU rRNA". It matches the Rfam family "Bacterial small subunit ribosomal RNA", at positions 249 to 856 of the family's 1533-position model. Lineage: Bacteria; Pseudomonadati; Bacteroidota; Bacteroidia; Bacteroidales; Bacteroidaceae. The record is from RNAcentral.